Oncorhynchus tshawytscha (Chinook salmon) is the source of this 325-nucleotide long non-coding RNA. The record is from Ensembl. Lineage: Eukaryota; Metazoa; Chordata; Actinopteri; Salmoniformes; Salmonidae.
GUCAGGGUCUGGUGUGGACUGUUCUGCUGUGGUGUCGACUCUAUGGUCAGGGUCUGGUGUGGACUGUUCUGCUGUGGUGUCGACUCUAUGGUCAGGGUCUGGUGUGGACUGUUCUGCUGUGGUGUCGAGACUUUUGUCAGGUGCUGAGGUGGGCUGUUCUGCUGUGAUGUCGACUCUAUGGUCAGGGUCUGGUGUGGACUGUUCUGCUGUGGUGUUGAGACUUUUGUCAGGUGCUGAGGUGGGCUUUUCUGCUGGCUUCUCUGCGGGGGUGGCCACCUCUCUAGUGGGUUGUUCUCUGUCACACGCCACCCCCCUCAACCUCUGC